Molecule: ribosomal RNA, 510 nt
Filed under: uncultured bacterium
Lineage: Bacteria
Description: partial 16S ribosomal RNA
Rfam family: Bacterial small subunit ribosomal RNA
Source: RNAcentral
GACGAACGCUGGCGGCGUGCUUAACACAUGCAAGUCGAACGAAGAGCGAUGGAAGCUUGCUUCUAUCAAUCUUAGUGGCGAACGGGUGAGUAACGCGUAAUCAACCUGCCCUUCAGAGGGGGACAACAGUUGGAAACGACUGCUAAUACCGCAUACGAUCUAACCUCGGCAUCGAGGAUAGAUGAAAGGUGGCCUCUACAUGUAAGCUAUCACUGAAGGAGGGGAUUGCGUCUGAUUAGCUAGGUGGAGGGGUAACGGCCCACCAAGGCGAUGAUCAGUAGCCGGUCUGAGAGGAUGAACGGCCACAUUGGGACUGAGACACGGCCCAGACUCCUACGGGAGGCAGCAGGGGGGAAUCUUCCGCAAUAGACGAAAGUCUGACGGAGCAACGCCGCGUGAGUGAUGACGGCCUUCGGGUUGUAAAGCUCUGUUAAUCGGGACGAAAGGCCUUCUUGCGAAUAGUGAGAAGGAUUGACGGUACCGUAAUAGAAAGCCACGGCUAACUACGUG